UAUGGAAACAGUACUGAAGUC
RNAcentral lists this non-coding RNA (21 nucleotides) under Caenorhabditis elegans. The record is from RNAcentral. Lineage: Eukaryota; Metazoa; Nematoda; Chromadorea; Rhabditida; Rhabditidae.